RNAcentral lists this ribosomal RNA (460 nucleotides) under uncultured bacterium. RNAcentral describes it as "partial 16S ribosomal RNA". It matches the Rfam family "Bacterial small subunit ribosomal RNA", at positions 338 to 795 of the family's 1533-position model. The record is from RNAcentral.
CCUACGGGUGGCAGCAGUGAGGAAUAUUGGUCAAUGGACGAGAGUCUGAACCAGCCAAGUAGCGUGAAGGAUGACUGCCCUAUGGGUUGUAAACUUCUUUUAUAUGGGAAUAAAACGUUCCACGUGUGGGAUUUUGUAUGUACCAUAUGAAUAAGGAUCGGCUAACUCCGUUCCAGCAGCCGCGGUAAUACGGAGGAUCCGAGCGUUAUCCGGGUUUAUUGGGUUUAAAGGGAGCGUAGGUGGAUUGUUAAGUCAGUUGUGAAAGUGUGCGGCUCAACCGUAAAAUUGCAGUUGACACUGGCAGUCUGGAGUACAGUAGAGGUAGGCGGAAUUCGUGGUGUAGCGGUGAAAUGCUUAGAUAUCACGAAGAACUCCGAGUGCGAAGGCAGCUCACUGGACUGCAACUGACACUGAGGCUCGAAAGUGUGGGUAUCAAACAGGAUUAGAUACCCCGGUAGUC